CACGUAGGGCGCAAGCGUUGUCCGGAAUUAUUGGGCGUAAAGAGCUCGUAGGCGGACUGUCACGUCUGCUGUGAAAAGCUAGGGCUUAACCCUGGCCUUGCAGUGGAUACGGGCAGACUAGGGGUAGGUAGGGGAGAAUGGAAUUCCCGGUGUAGCGGUGAAAUGCGCAGAUAUCGGGAGGAACACCGGUGGCGAAGGCGGGUCUCUGGGCAAUACUGACGCUGAGGAGCGAAAGCGUGGGGAGCGAACAGG
This 252-nucleotide ribosomal RNA is filed under the name uncultured bacterium. Its description in RNAcentral is "partial 16S ribosomal RNA". It matches the Rfam family "Bacterial small subunit ribosomal RNA", at positions 524 to 776 of the family's 1533-position model. The record is from RNAcentral.